RNAcentral lists this ribosomal RNA (253 nucleotides) under uncultured bacterium. RNAcentral describes it as "partial 16S ribosomal RNA". It matches the Rfam family "Bacterial small subunit ribosomal RNA", at positions 524 to 776 of the family's 1533-position model. The record is from RNAcentral.
UACGAGUGCCCCGAGCGUUGUCCGGAAUCAUUGGGCGUAAAGGGUGUGUAGGUGGCAGUGUUAGUCGAUUGUUAAAACCUGGGGCUCAACCCCAGACUCGCGAUCGAAACGGCACAGCUAGAGGAUGGCAGGGAUGAAUGGAACUCAUGGAGUAGGGGUGAAAUCCGUUGAUAUCAUGGGGAACACCAAAAGCGAAGGCAGUUCAUUGGGCCACUCCUGACACUGAAACACGAAAGCGUGGGUAGCGAAUGGG